GACUCCGUAGCUCAGUUGGUUUAGAGCGUCCGACUGUUAUUUCUUCUUAAAGUGAUCGGGAGGUCGACAGUUCAAACCUGUCCGGAGUCG
Molecule: transfer RNA, 90 nt
Filed under: Microbotryum lychnidis-dioicae p1A1 Lamole
Lineage: Eukaryota; Fungi; Basidiomycota; Microbotryomycetes; Microbotryales; Microbotryaceae
Also listed under: 1 other name
Description: tRNA-Asn for anticodon GUU
Rfam family: tRNA
About the family: Transfer RNA (tRNA) molecules are approximately 80 nucleotides in length. Their secondary structure includes four short double-helical elements and three loops (D, anti-codon, and T loops).
Source: Rfam by way of RNAcentral